Molecule: long non-coding RNA, 99 nt
Organism: Thalassophryne amazonica
Lineage: Eukaryota; Metazoa; Chordata; Actinopteri; Batrachoidiformes; Batrachoididae
Exons: 3
Source: RefSeq, a predicted model, not a curated record
GUUGAAUGGAACAUUCCAUCUUUCACCUCAUGAAACAUUCUUAUCAAUGCACUCAUAAACAGUAAUUAGAUGUAUAUUUAGAGUGCAUGUUCAUGUUUU